Molecule: microRNA precursor, 79 nt
Filed under: Myotis davidii
Lineage: Eukaryota; Metazoa; Chordata; Mammalia; Chiroptera; Vespertilionidae
Description: mir-192/215 microRNA precursor family
Rfam family: mir-192/215 microRNA precursor family
About the family: This family represents the human microRNA (miRNA) precursors mir-192 and mir-215.
Source: Rfam by way of RNAcentral
ACAGGGCUCUGACCUAUGAAUUGACAGCCAGUGAUCUUGUCUCCCCUCUGGCUGCCAAUUGCAUAGGUCACAGGUAUGU